RNAcentral lists this ribosomal RNA (253 nucleotides) under uncultured bacterium. Its description in RNAcentral is "partial 16S ribosomal RNA". It matches the Rfam family "Bacterial small subunit ribosomal RNA", at positions 524 to 776 of the family's 1533-position model. The record is from RNAcentral.
UACGUAGGGGGCAAGCGUUGUCAGGAUUUAUUGGGCGUAAAGAGCGUGUAGGCGGCCUUACAGGUCAGCUGUGAAAACUCGAGGCUCAACCUCGAGACGCCGAUGGAAACCAUGUGGCUAGAGUCCGGAAGAGGAGAGUGGAAUUCCUGGUGUAGCGGUGAAAUGCGCAGAUAUCAGGAAGAACACCCGUGGCUAAGGCGGCUCUCUAGUACGGUACUGACGCUGAGACGCGAAAGCGUGGGGAGCGAACAGG